AUUUCUCUUUCUUUCUCCUCCAAGAAUAUCAAAUUUGGUGAAUUGUUUGAGGGGAAUAAUUACUGUCUUCUCAUCUUUAAAACCUCACUUCAAGAAUUUAGAUUGAGUGAAAAAGGAAAAAAUAUGUAUAUCUUGGAAAGGUGAAAUCAAGAAUGGCAUCGACAGCUGCUUCUUUGGGUUCGUCGACUUUGAUUCAGUCAAUUGGUGGGGGUCUUAAAAUUCAAAAAUAUUCUCUUUCUAAUCCGAUUUCACUCACUUUUACGAGGAGAAAAUCUCGAACUAUUGUGAAGGCAACUGCUCGGAUUGAUAAGUUCUCCAAAAGUGACAUCAUUGUUUCUCCAUCUAUUCUUUCUGCUAAUUUUUCCAAGUUAGGAGAGCAGGUCAAAGCAGUUGAGCUAGCAGGUUGCGACUGGAUUCAUGUUGAUGUGAUGGAUGGCCGUUUUGUUCCAAAUAUUACAAUUGGGCCUCUUGUAGUUGAUGCCCUACGCCCCAUCACAGACCUUCCAUUAGAUGUGCAUUUGAUGAUUGUGGAACCUGAGCAAAGAGUUCCUGAUUUUAUAAAGGCUGGUGCCGAUAUAGUUAGUGUCCAUUGUGAACAAUCUUCCACCAUCCAUUUGCAUCGCACCAUAAAUCAAGUUAAGAGCCUAGGCGCUAAAGCUGGAGUUGUCCUGAACCCUGGAACUCCAUUGAGUGCCAUAGAGUAUGUUCUUGAUGUGGUUGAUCUGGUAUUGAUUAUGUCUGUAAACCCUGGAUUUGGUGGGCAGAGCUUCAUUGAGAGCCAAGUUAAGAAAAUAUCAGACUUGAGAAGAAUGUGUGCAGAGAAGGGAGUGAACCCCUGGAUCGAGGUAGAUGGUGGAGUUGGUCCUAAAAAUGCUUAUAAGGUUAUUGAGGCUGGGGCCAAUGCAUUAGUUGCUGGAUCCGCCGUCUUUGGAGCUCCAGAUUACGCUGCAGCCAUUAAAGGAAUCAAAACCAGCAAAAGGCCUGUUGCAGUUCCAGUAUAAAAUUUUCAUUCAAAAUGUUGUUCAAGCUGUCGUGUGCUCUUGAUUCCCAGGUGCCUGAAAUCAUAUUAGCGAGUCGAUUAAAAGUUAUGCUACAACGACAGAUACAUGAUGAAAUAAUGUAUUUGUCCACCCUACUACUCUAUGUUGAGUAUAAACUAUGGGACGAGAUAGAGCAAAAUAUUGAAUGUUGUUGUAAGAUGAAAUGUUAAAGGAGGGAUUCCUCUGAAGUCGAAAAUAAGAACAGUAAGAAACAUAGUUUAGACCUGUUGUGAGACAGAAUGUCUGUUAACAUAUUUUGCUGGAGGGAUUUGUUUAUAUCAUUAUAUGCCUACUUUAAAGAAACUUCUUUCAUGUAUAUGUUGCAGAUUUAUAGAUUUGUACAUUGUACCAUUUGACAGAGAAUCACAUGAAUUAUUUUUGCGUAAA
This is an RNA transcript of Olea europaea var. sylvestris, 1427 nucleotides long. It is a transcript of the gene named ribulose-phosphate 3-epimerase, chloroplastic, with no coding region annotated. The record is from RefSeq and is a predicted model, not a curated record. NCBI's taxonomy places the organism in Eukaryota, Viridiplantae, Streptophyta, Magnoliopsida, Lamiales, Oleaceae. The transcript is spliced from 10 exons.